This 292-nucleotide ribosomal RNA is filed under the name uncultured bacterium. Its description in RNAcentral is "partial 16S ribosomal RNA". It matches the Rfam family "Bacterial small subunit ribosomal RNA", at positions 505 to 796 of the family's 1533-position model. The record is from RNAcentral.
GUGUCAGCAGCCGCGGUAAGACAGAGGGUGCAAACGUUGUUCGGAAUUACUGGGCGUAAAGCGCGUGUAGGCGGCCGCGCAAGUCGGAUGUGAAAGCCCUCGGCUCAACUGAGGAAGCGCACCCGAAACUGCGUGGCUAGAGUCCCGGAGAGGAAGGUGGAAUGCUUGGUGUAGAGGUGAAAUUCGUAGAUAUCAAGCGGAACACCGGUGGCGAAGGCGGCCUUCUGGACGGUGACUGACGCUGAGACGCGAAAGCGUGGGGAGCAAACAGGAUUAGAAACCCGCGUAGUCC